Molecule: long non-coding RNA, 527 nt
Filed under: Selaginella moellendorffii
Lineage: Eukaryota; Viridiplantae; Streptophyta; Lycopodiopsida; Selaginellales; Selaginellaceae
Description: long non-coding RNA (SMOE_LNC002428)
Source: RNAcentral
AAAAGAAUGUGCUAUCUUAUUACCAAUGAAACGAAUAGAAGAGUGAACUUUAGGCCAACCUCUUAAUCCUUAAGGCGUUAGAGCCUUAAAUCCCACCUGCCAUGGAAUAUUCUGGGAAUAUUCGUGUGGUUCGUGUCACAUUUCGACAAGGCAGCUCUCCACGAAAAUGGAUCCACACCUCCUCUCCAGCGCCUGCGAGUGGAUUGCCAUUCCAAUCUCCAGCGAUCUCGUCUUGGAAAGCCGUGGCAAUGCUAGAGCAUGCCUUGGCCGCAGCAACAAAAGUUCUCGAGUUUGGAGUCGCGCAUUGGCGAGAAGAGGGAGAGCGCCGCCAAUCCAUUGUCGUUCUCUGCGUAACCGAGCAUGAGCGCAUUCCACGAGACAAUGUCAUGGCUGGGCAUGGCGUCAAAUACCUCUCGUGCUUCGCCUAUGAGGGAGUACAUGUCCACCAGGCUGCUGCCCACGAAGAGAUCGCCCGCCACUUCACUGGCUAUGGCGUCGGAGUGGAGCUCCCGCCUCCUCUUGGCAUC